CCCUUAGAUGUUCUGGGCCGCACGCGCGCUACAAUGGUCUUCGCAAACGGAUGCAUUCUCGAAGGAGAAUGCCAAUCUUGGAAUCUAUGCCUUGGUCGGGACAGUUGCUUGCAAUUUUUCGACUCGAACCAGGAAUUCCUUGUAAUCGUGAUUCAUCACAUCACGAUGAAUACGUCCCUGCCCUUUGUACACACCGCCCGUCGCUCCUACCGAUCGAAGAGUUAGGUGAAUUGUUUUGAUCGAUAAGAUCUGACUAUGGUCAACUCUCGUUGUGAAAUUCUGUGAAUCUGACUGUUUAGAGGAAGGAAAAGUCGUAACA
RNAcentral lists this ribosomal RNA (319 nucleotides) under uncultured eukaryote. RNAcentral describes it as "partial 18S ribosomal RNA". It matches the Rfam family "Eukaryotic small subunit ribosomal RNA", at positions 1470 to 1796 of the family's 1831-position model. The record is from RNAcentral.